RNAcentral lists this transfer RNA (44 nucleotides) under Chattonella subsalsa. RNAcentral's name for it is "partial tRNA". It matches the Rfam family "tRNA", at positions 27 to 70 of the family's 71-position model. Rfam says of the family: Transfer RNA (tRNA) molecules are approximately 80 nucleotides in length. Lineage: Eukaryota; Raphidophyceae; Chattonellales; Chattonellaceae. The record is from RNAcentral.
CUGCCUUCCAAGCAGAAGAUGUAAGUUCGAUUCUUACUACCUGC